RNAcentral lists this ribosomal RNA (454 nucleotides) under uncultured bacterium. Its description in RNAcentral is "bacterial SSU rRNA". It matches the Rfam family "Bacterial small subunit ribosomal RNA", at positions 340 to 786 of the family's 1533-position model. The record is from RNAcentral.
UACGGAAGGCAGCAGUGGGGAAUAUUGCACAAUGGGCGCAAGCCUGAUGCAGCCAUGCCGCGUGUAUGAAAAAGGCCUUCGGGUUGUAAAGUACUUUCAGUCGUGAGGAAGGUGUUAAGGUUAAUAACCUUAGCAAUUGACGUUAGCGACAGAAGAAGCACCGGCUAACUCCGUGCCAGCAGCCGCGGUAAUACGGAGGGUGCGAGCGUUAAUCGGAAUUACUGGGCGUAAAGGGCACGCAGGCGGUUAAUUAAGUUGGAUGUGAAAUCCCCGGGCUUAACCUGGGAAUGGCAUUCAAGACUGGUUAGCUAGAGUCUUGUAGAGGGGGGUAGAAUUCCAUGUGUAGCGGUGAAUGCGUAGAGAUGUGGAGGAAUACCGGUGGCGAAGGCGGCCCCUGGACAAAGACUGACGCUCAUGUGCGAAAGCGUGGGGAGCGAAACAGGGAUUAGAUACC